GAUGAACGCUAGCGGCAGGCCUAAUACAUGCAAGUCGGACGGGAUUCAGGAGCUUGCUUCUGAUGAGAGUGGCGCACGGGUGCGUAACACGUAUGUAACCUACCUUUAUCAGGGGGAUAGCCUCUCGAAAGAGAGAUUAAGCCCGCAUAAAAUCACAGCACAGCAUUGUGUAAUGAUCAAAUAUUUAUAGGAUAAAGAUGGGCAUGCGGAACAUUAGCUAGAUGGCGGGGUAACGGCCCACCAUGGCGACGAUGUUUAGGGGAUCUGAGAGGAUGGCCCCCCACACUGGUACUGAGACACGGACCAGACUCCUACGGGAGGCAGCAGUAAGGAAUAUUGGUCAAGGGGCGGAAGCCUGAACCAGCCAUGCCGCGUGCAGGAAGACGGCCCUACGGGUUGUAAACUGCUUUUAUACGGGAAUAAACCCAGAUACGUGUAUCUGGCUGAAUGUACUGUAAGAAUAAGGAUCGGCUAACCCCGUG
RNAcentral lists this ribosomal RNA (482 nucleotides) under uncultured bacterium. RNAcentral describes it as "partial 16S ribosomal RNA". It matches the Rfam family "Bacterial small subunit ribosomal RNA", at positions 28 to 507 of the family's 1533-position model. The record is from RNAcentral.